CUACGGGGUGCUGCAGUGGGAAUAUUGGACAAUGGGGGAAACCCUGAUCCAGCAACGCCGCGUGGAGGAUGACGCAUUUCGGUGUGUAAACUCCUUUUAUAUGUCAAGAAAAUGACGGUAGCAUAUGAAUAAGCACCGGCUAACUCCGUGCCAGCAGCCGCGGUAAUACGGAGGGUGCAAGCGUUACUCGGAAUCACUGGGCGUAAAGGACGCGUAGGCGGGUUGGAAAGUCAGGUGUGAAAUCCUACAGCUUAACUGUAGAACUGCACUUGAAACUUCUAAUCUAGAGUAUGGGAGGGGGAGAUGGAAUUAGUGGUGUAGGGGUAAAAUCCGUAGAUAUCACUAGGAAUACCCAAAGCGAAGGCGAUCUCCUGGAACAUUACUGACGCUAAGGCGUGAAAGCGUGGGGAGCAAACAGGAUUAGAUACCCGCGUAGUC
RNAcentral lists this ribosomal RNA (438 nucleotides) under uncultured bacterium. Its description in RNAcentral is "partial 16S ribosomal RNA". It matches the Rfam family "Bacterial small subunit ribosomal RNA", at positions 339 to 795 of the family's 1533-position model. The record is from RNAcentral.